Molecule: ribosomal RNA, 253 nt
Filed under: uncultured bacterium
Lineage: Bacteria
Description: partial 16S ribosomal RNA
Rfam family: Bacterial small subunit ribosomal RNA
Source: RNAcentral
UACGUAGGGGACGAGCGUUAUUCGGAUUCACUGGGCGUAAAGGGUGCGCAGGCGGCUAAGUGUGUUAGGCGUGAAAGCCCGGGGCUUAACCCCGGAAUUGCACCUAAAACUACAUGGCUAGAGCAUUGGAGAGGGUAGCGGAAUUCACGGUGUAGCAGUGAAAUGCGUAGAUAUCGUGAGGAACACCAGAGGCGAAGGCGGCUACCUGGACAAUUGCUGACGCUCAGGCACGAAAGCGUGGGGAGCAAAAGGG